UACGGGAGUGGCAAGCGUUAUCCGGAAUUAUUGGGCGUAAAGCGUCCGCAGGCGGCCUCGUAAGUCUGUCGUUAAAGCGUGGAGCUUAACUCCAUUUCAGCGAUGGAAACUGUGAGGCUUGAGUGUGGUAGGGGCAGAGGGAAUUCCCGGUGUAGCGGUGAAAUGCGUAGAUAUCGGGAAGAACACCAGUGGCGAAGGCGCUCUGCUGGGCCAUAACUGACGCUCAUGGACGAAAGCCAGGGGAGCGAAAGGGAUUAGAUACCCCUGUAGUCCUGGCCGUAAACGAUGAACACUAGGUGUCGGGGGAAUCGACCCCCUCGGUGUCGUAGCCAACGCGUUAAGUGUUCCGCCUGGGGAGUACGCACGCAAGUGUGAAACUCAAAGGAAUUGACGGGGGCCCGCACAAGCGGUGGAGUAUGUGGUUUAAUUCGAUGCAACGCGAAGAACCUUACCAGGGUUUGACAUCCUGCGAAUCCCUGAGAAAUCGGGGAGUGCCUUCGGGAGCGCAGUGACAGGUGGUGCAUGGCUGUCGUCAGCUCGUGUCGUGAGAUGUUGGGUUAAGUCCCGCAACGAGCGCAACCCACGUCUUUAGUUGCCAGCAUUCAGUUGGGCACUCUAGAGAGACCGCCGGUGAUAAACUGGAGGAAGGUGUGGAUGACGUCAAGUCAUCAUGCCCCUUACAUCCUGGGCUACACACGUACUACAAUGCUACGGACAAAGGGCAGCAAACUCGCGAGAGCUAGCAAAUCCCAUAAACCGUGGCUCAGUUCAGAUCGUAGGCUGCAACUCGCCUACGUGAAGGCGGAAUCGCUAGUAAUCGCAGGUCAGCAUACUGCGGUGAAUACGUUCCCGGGCCU
RNAcentral lists this ribosomal RNA (857 nucleotides) under uncultured bacterium. RNAcentral describes it as "SSU rRNA". It matches the Rfam family "Bacterial small subunit ribosomal RNA", at positions 524 to 1381 of the family's 1533-position model. The record is from RNAcentral.